This is a non-coding RNA of Amniculicola lignicola CBS 123094, 88 nucleotides long. The record is from the annotation of a GenBank genome assembly. Lineage: Eukaryota; Fungi; Ascomycota; Dothideomycetes; Pleosporales; Amniculicolaceae.
GGGCGUGUAGCUCAGUGGUAGAGCGCUCGCUUUGCAUUGCCUAGUGCUCGUAUGCGAGAGGCCCGGGGUUCGAUCCCCCGCCCGUCCA